Molecule: ribosomal RNA, 253 nt
Filed under: uncultured bacterium
Lineage: Bacteria
Description: partial 16S ribosomal RNA
Rfam family: Bacterial small subunit ribosomal RNA
Source: RNAcentral
UACGUAGGGUCCAAGCGUUAAUCGGAAUUACUGGGCGUAAAGAGUGCGCAGGCGGCAUUAUAAGCUUGAUGUGAAAUCCCCGGGCUCAACCUGGGAACUGCAUUGAUGACUGUAAUGCUAGAGUGUAGCAGAGGGGGGUAGAAUUCCACGUGUAGCAGUGAAAUGCGUAGAGAUGUGGAGGAAUACCGAUGGCGAAGGCAGCCCCCUGGGUUAACACUGACGCUCAUGCACGAAAGCGUGGGGAGCAAACAGG